RNAcentral lists this ribosomal RNA (504 nucleotides) under uncultured bacterium. RNAcentral describes it as "partial 16S ribosomal RNA". It matches the Rfam family "Bacterial small subunit ribosomal RNA", at positions 899 to 1397 of the family's 1533-position model. The record is from RNAcentral.
ACUCAAAGGAAUAGACGGGGGCUCACACAAGCGGUGGAGCAUGUGGCUUAAUUCGAGGCUACGCGCAGAACCUUAUCCCGGGCUUGACAUGCACGGAUUAGCCGGCGGAAACGUCGGUGACGCCGCGAGGUGGAACGUGCACAGGUGCUGCAUGGCUGUCGUCAGCUCGUGUCGUGAGAUGUUGGGUUCAGUCCCGUAACGAGCGAAACCCCUGUGACUAGUUGCCAGCGGUUCGGCCGGGCACUCUAGUCAGACCGCCGGCGUCAAGCCGGAGGAAGGCGGGGACGACGUCAAGUCCUCAUGGCCCUUAUGCCCGGGGCUGCACACGUGCUACAAUGGGCCGGACAGAGCGUCGCAGAGCCGCGAGGCCGAGCUAAUCGCAAAAACCGGUCCCCAGUUCGGAUUGCGGGCUGCAACCCGCCCGCAUGAAGCCGGAAUCGCUAGUAAUCGCGGAUCAGCACUGCCGCGGUGAAUGGGUUCCUGAGCCUUGUACACACCGCCCGU